This 372-nucleotide long non-coding RNA is filed under the name Felis catus (domestic cat). Its description in RNAcentral is "lncRNA (ENSFCAG00000053263.1)". Lineage: Eukaryota; Metazoa; Chordata; Mammalia; Carnivora; Felidae. The record is from RNAcentral.
CAGGGACCUUGACGAGGCCUUCGAGGACCCCAAGCUGUCUCCACGGGUGGGAUCCCACCUGUUUGGUAUCCCUUUCUGAGCACAGCCAGGUGGGGCAUUUGGGCUUGCACCUGUAGGAGCCCUUCAGACCCCAGAGACGGGACCCUCAGCACCGCCCCUUAUCGGAACACUCCUGCCGGGAUCUCCCCUGGGAGACGCCCCUACACGGAGCCCUGCGGUCUGUGUCUAGACGUCCAGCCCUAUUGACGUCGGACAUGGCCAGGCCCGCCACCGGACCCUGCAGCCUUGGGGUAAAGGCCACAAAGGGAGAGAGGGAGACUGAGGAUACAGACCAGGAGGCGGCCUGGCCUCUUCUUUGCCUCUUCAGACAGC